Molecule: ribosomal RNA, 443 nt
Filed under: uncultured bacterium
Lineage: Bacteria
Description: partial 16S ribosomal RNA
Rfam family: Bacterial small subunit ribosomal RNA
Source: RNAcentral
CCUACGGGAGGCUGCAGUGGGGAAUAUUGGGCAAUGGGCGCAAGCCUGACCCAGCAACGCCGCGUGAAGGAAGAAUGCUUUCGGGUUGUAAACUUCUUUUAUCAGGGACGAAGCAAGUGACGGUACCUGCUGAAUAAGCCACCGCUAACUACGUGCCAGCACCCGCUGUAAUACGUAGGUGGCAAGCGUUAUCCGGAUUUAGUGGGUGUAAAGGGCGCGUAGGCGGGAGUGUAAGUCCGUGGGGAAAACUAUGGGCUCAACCCAAAGCCUGCAUUUGAAACUGGACUUCUUGAGUGCUGGGGAGGCAAGCGGAAUUCGGGGUGUAGCGGUGAAAUGCGUAGAUAUACGGAGGAACACCAGUGGCGAAGGCGGAUUGCUGGACAGUAACUGACGCUGAGGCGCGAAAGCGUGGGGAGCAAACAGGAUUAGAUACCCGGGUAGUC